Molecule: ribosomal RNA, 199 nt
Filed under: uncultured bacterium
Lineage: Bacteria
Description: partial 16S ribosomal RNA
Rfam family: Bacterial small subunit ribosomal RNA
Source: RNAcentral
ACGCUCGACACCUACGGGAGGCAGCAGUGGGGAAUAUUGCACAAUGGGGGAAACCCUGAUGCAGCGACGCCGCGUGACUGAAGAAGUAUUUCGGUAUGUAAAGGUCUAUCAGCAGGGAAGAAAGAAGACGGUACCUGACUAAGAAGCCCCGGCUAACUACGUGCAAGCAGCCGCGGUAAUCUGAGCGGGCUGGCAAGGC